GACGAACGCUGGCGGCGUGCUUAACACAUGCAAGUCGAACGGAAAGGCCCUGCUUUUGUGGGGUGCUCGAGUGGCGAACGGGUGAGUAACACGCGAGUAACCUGCACUUGAAUUUGGGAUAACUUCAGGAAAAUGGGGCUCAUACCGGAUAGGAGCUCCUGCUGCAUGGGGGGGGUUGGUAAGUUUCGGCGGUUGGGGCUGGACUAGCGGCUUAUCCGCUUGAUGGUGGGGUAGUGGAUUACCAAGGCUUUGACGGGUAGCCGGCCUUGGAGGUUGACCGGCCACAUUGGGACUGCGAUACGGCCCAGACUCCUACGGGAGGCAGCAGUGGGGAAUAUUGCACAAUGGGCGGAAGCCUGAUGCAGCAACGCCGCGUGCGUGAUGACGGCCUUCGGGUUGUAAACCGCUUUCGCCUGUGACGAAGCGUGAGUGACGGUAAUGGGUAAAGAAGCACCGGCUAACUACGUG
RNAcentral lists this ribosomal RNA (468 nucleotides) under uncultured bacterium. Its description in RNAcentral is "partial 16S ribosomal RNA". It matches the Rfam family "Bacterial small subunit ribosomal RNA", at positions 28 to 507 of the family's 1533-position model. The record is from RNAcentral.